GGCCAGGUAGCUCAGUCGGUAGAGCAGGGGACUGAAAAUCCCCGUGUCCGUGGUUCGAUUCCACGCCUGGCCACCA
RNAcentral lists this transfer RNA (76 nucleotides) under Gammaproteobacteria bacterium. Its description in RNAcentral is "tRNA-Phe". It matches the Rfam family "tRNA". From Rfam's summary of the family: Transfer RNA (tRNA) molecules are approximately 80 nucleotides in length. RNAcentral also lists the same sequence under 3 other names. Lineage: Bacteria; Pseudomonadati; Pseudomonadota; Gammaproteobacteria. The record is from RNAcentral.